RNAcentral lists this ribosomal RNA (475 nucleotides) under uncultured organism. RNAcentral describes it as "partial 16S ribosomal RNA". It matches the Rfam family "Bacterial small subunit ribosomal RNA", at positions 333 to 800 of the family's 1533-position model. The record is from RNAcentral.
ACACUCCUGCGGGAGGCAGCAGUGGGGAAUUUUGGACAAUGGGCGAAAGCCUGAUCCAGCAAUGCCGCGUGUGUGAAGAAGGCCUUCGGGUUGUAAAGCACUUUUGUCCGGAAAGAAAUCCUUGGCUCUAAUACAGUCGGGGGAUGACGGUACCGGAAGAAUAAGCACCGGCUAACUACGUGCCAGCAGCCGCGGUAAUACGUAGGGUGCGAGCGUUAAUCGGAAUUACUGGGCGUAAAGCGUGCGCAGGCGGUUUGCUAAGACCGAUGUGAAAUCCCCGGGCUCAACCUGGGAACUGCAUUGGGGACUGGCAGGCUAGAGUAUGGCAGAGGGGGGUAGAAUUCCACGUGUAGCAGUGAAAUGCGUAGAGAUGUGGAGGAAUACCGAUGGCGAAGGCAGCCCCCUGGGCCAAUACUGACGCUCAUGCACGAAAGCGUGGGGAGCAAACAGGAUUAGAAACCCGAUAGUCCCAUGA